RNAcentral lists this long non-coding RNA (920 nucleotides) under Linum usitatissimum (flax). Its description in RNAcentral is "long non-coding RNA (LUSI_LNC004643)". Lineage: Eukaryota; Viridiplantae; Streptophyta; Magnoliopsida; Malpighiales; Linaceae. The record is from RNAcentral.
UCCCAUCAACAUCAACCAAUCACUUCUUCACAGCAAAAUAAAAAUUCCAGAAUCACUCAUUAGUUCUUCAUAAACAGAAGAACACUAGCUACUAGCUAGUCUUUCAUGUAAUCAAAACAUAUGUCUUUCAUGUAAUCUCUCAUUAAUGCUGCACAAUGAGCAUAGUAACAGUUAACAGACGAUAACAAGCUCCGGGGACCUUCAGAGUUGUCGCCAGAGAAUGCGGUUGUUUGGUGGUGAAAGUAGUGGUCAAUUAUGUUUCCAACAAGAACAGCAUCAGUGGAAAUCACUUGAAACCCAGGUUCCAUUUCUUAUUUGCUCUUCCCACCCCCAUGUUCACGUGUGAUGUUUUUCAGGUUUCUGAUGCUUUAUUGGGGUGGAAUAUGAAACUGGACAUGAAAAUUCAGACAGCUAAGGAGCGGAUGGGACGAUGGGGUCAUCUCUCAGGUGACAACCCAAACUUAUGUCUGUAACUUAACCAAUACAGGACAAAACAGGAAGACAGAUUUUCUGGCAAGCUCCACAUUACAUGGAUGAUGCCAACUGUUUUUUAAGGCCUCCCCUUUGUGAUCCUACAAUGUAAUGUUGUCUUGUGAUCCACUUUUUGCCAAACCCUACAAGGAAGUCACCAUCUUGUUUUGGUUUAUCCAUUAAAGUUGUGGUCUUGUGCCAUCAGCAAAUAAGUACCUUAUGCACCACAGUUGGCGUGUCUUUGUUUGGUUGGGUUGCAAACCGGAUUUUGAGCAGGUAAUCCUGGUAAAGUUCUUUGUCUUCUGUUCUGAUCGUAUGAACACAGCAGUACUAUUAUGUCUGAUGCACCGUCACUGUGAUGCUGAUGCUUCAGAAUGGGAAGCUACUCUGGCCGCCGAAAUCGUUGAACAUUAGUCCCAAUCAGUGGAGAUAUCAGCAUGAUUCAUCCA